Molecule: long non-coding RNA, 433 nt
Organism: Peromyscus maniculatus bairdii (prairie deer mouse)
Lineage: Eukaryota; Metazoa; Chordata; Mammalia; Rodentia; Cricetidae
Source: RefSeq, a predicted model, not a curated record
AGAGCUUUGUUAUUAAGUUAUAGUCUCAGCUUUUUUGUUUUUUGUUUUUGUUUUUGGUUGGGGACUGAAAGAUAGCUUGCCCGUAAAAGCAAUUGCUACCAAGCUUGAUGACCUGCCCCAUUUGGUCUGAGGAUUCACAGAGGAUGAGACUGCAGCUCAGUGAUGGGUGGAGCCACACCUUGACCUGGACUGACCCGGACACAUCCCUCUGGACCUCUGCUUAAUCCUCAUGUCUGGACCCAGUAGAUGGAAUGGGGAAAGUAUAACCUCCUGUAUCAUCUCUGCUUCUGGACCUGCCCAGGUGUGAGGAAGCUCCAGCUGAGGAUUCUGCAGCUGGCACCAUGCGAAGAACUUUAACUGGCAGUCUGUUGCUGCACCUCCUCUAAGCAUUUGUUAAGAACUUGAAAAAAAUUAAAGCAUUCACUAAAAGAAA